This is a long non-coding RNA of Aethalodelphis obliquidens (Pacific white-sided dolphin), 313 nucleotides long. RefSeq lists it as uncharacterized. The record is from RefSeq and is a predicted model, not a curated record. The transcript has 4 exons. NCBI's taxonomy places the organism in Eukaryota, Metazoa, Chordata, Mammalia, Artiodactyla, Delphinidae.
GGCCUAUGUGGCGUCAGGUGGGAAUGAACUUUGGGGCCUAAUUGUCACAAAAACCUGGACUUUAGAAUCAGUCUGAGUUGAAAUCUUGGUCCCAACACUUGCCAGCUGUGUAACCUUAGACAAAAGAUGGCCUUCUGCAUACCAGCAAGUGGGCCCUUAUAAGACACCAAAUCUGCCAGCAUCUUGAUCUUGGACUUCCUAGCUUCCAGAACUCAUUUACCUGUCAGGGGGCAUCUGGUCUCAGACCACAGAUAUAGCUUUUAAUGGCCUAAGCAGAAGAAGAAUUUAUUAGAAGAUUACAGCUUUCUGUGGC